UACGUAGGUGGCAAGCGUUGUCCGGAUUUACUGGGCGUAAAGGGUAUGCAGGCGGGUUUUUAAGUAGGAAGUGAAAGGUUGGAGCUCAACUCCGACACUGCUUUCUAUACUGGGAGCCUUGAGUGCCGGAGAGGAAGAGGGAACUGCACGUGUAGCGGUGAUAUGCGUUGAGAUGUGCAGGAACACCAAUGGCGAAAGCACUCUUCUGGACGGCCACUGACGCUGAGAUACGAAAGCCAAGGGAGCGAACAGG
RNAcentral lists this ribosomal RNA (253 nucleotides) under uncultured bacterium. RNAcentral's name for it is "partial 16S ribosomal RNA". It matches the Rfam family "Bacterial small subunit ribosomal RNA", at positions 524 to 776 of the family's 1533-position model. The record is from RNAcentral.